UACGUAGGUGGCAAGCGUUGUCCGGAAUUAUUGGGCGUAAAGCGCGCGCAGGUGGUUUCUUAAGUCUGAUGUGAAAGCCCACGGCUCAACCGUGGAGGGUCAUUGGAAACUGGGGAACUUGAGUACAGAAGAGGAAAGUGGAAUUCCAAGUGUAGCGGUGAAAUGCGUAGAGAUUUGGAGGAACACCAGUGGCGAAGGCGACUUUCUGGUCUGUAACUGACACUGAGGCGCGAAAGCGUGGGGAGCAAACGGG
Molecule: ribosomal RNA, 253 nt
Filed under: uncultured bacterium
Lineage: Bacteria
Description: partial 16S ribosomal RNA
Rfam family: Bacterial small subunit ribosomal RNA
Source: RNAcentral